UCUAAUAUGGCAGAUUAGUGCAAUGAAUUUAAGAUUCAUUUAUAAAUAUUUAUUUUGUUAGAA
This 63-nucleotide transfer RNA is filed under the name Stenatkina angustata. Its description in RNAcentral is "tRNA-Leu". Lineage: Eukaryota; Metazoa; Arthropoda; Insecta; Hemiptera; Cicadellidae. RNAcentral also lists the same sequence under 1 other name. The record is from RNAcentral.